UGGGGUAUCGCCAAACGGUAAGGCAACGGCCUCUGACGCCGUCACUCUUGGUUCGAAUCCAGGUACCCCAGCCA
Molecule: transfer RNA, 74 nt
Filed under: Geobacteraceae bacterium
Lineage: Bacteria; Pseudomonadati; Thermodesulfobacteriota; Desulfuromonadia; Geobacterales; Geobacteraceae
Description: tRNA-Gln
Rfam family: tRNA
About the family: Transfer RNA (tRNA) molecules are approximately 80 nucleotides in length.
Source: RNAcentral